CGGGUGAGUAACGCGUGGGUAACCUGCCUUAUACAGGGGGAUAACAGUCAGAAAUGGCUGCUAAUACCGCAUAAGCGCACAGAGCUGCAUGGCUCAGUGUGAAAAACUCCGGUGGUAUAAGAUGGACCCGCGUUGGAUUAGCUUGUUGGUGGGGUAACGGCCCACCAAGGCGACGAUCCAUAGCCGGCCUGAGAGGGUGAACGGCCACAUUGGGACUGAGACACGGCCCAGGCUCCUACGGGAGGCAGCAUG
RNAcentral lists this ribosomal RNA (252 nucleotides) under uncultured bacterium. Its description in RNAcentral is "partial 16S ribosomal RNA". It matches the Rfam family "Bacterial small subunit ribosomal RNA", at positions 103 to 353 of the family's 1533-position model. The record is from RNAcentral.